UACAGGGGGGGCAAGCGUUGUUCGGAAUUACUGGGCGUAAAGGGUUCGUAGGUGGCCACUUAAGUCAGACGUGAAAUCCCUCAGCUUAACUGGGGAACUGCGUCUGAUACUGGAUGGCUUGAAUCCGGGAGAGGGAUGCGGAAUUCCAGGUGUAGCGGUGAAAUGCGUAGAUAUCUGGAGGAACACCGGUGGCGAAGGCGGCAUCCUGGACCGGUAUUGACGCUGAGGCGCGAAAGCCAGGGGAGCAAACGGG
Molecule: ribosomal RNA, 253 nt
Filed under: uncultured bacterium
Lineage: Bacteria
Description: partial 16S ribosomal RNA
Rfam family: Bacterial small subunit ribosomal RNA
Source: RNAcentral